GGCGGGAGGCGGGAACGGGACAGUUGCUUUCUUCAUUGAAUAAUCUAAAUAAUUAAUACGAAGUGGUGUUUUGUGGUUAAUGAUCGCAUUAAGUUAGUCGGAAGACAUUCGCGAGUGUUAUUAUAUUGGAGUAUUCAAUAAACAAAGUGUAUCUGCCUAUUUUCGCUUCGUGUCAGGAAGCCGCUUCAUAACUCAAAAGUUUAUGCGGACUUUUGAGUUAAUUCGUUUGGGGUUCGGAGUAGGAGUCUACUCCGAGGGUGGGGGCUUAGGUUUCAUCAUCAUCACCUUUCAUCAUUUCAUUAAUCAUCAAGGAAAAAAAAUACGUCAGACAUGGCUGUAUGGGCAUAGUUCCCUUUGCCUUACCCUUCGGGGAAAACCCUCAGAACAAUAACUAAAGCAUAGAAGGAAGGCUAAAAUAAGAAUUCAGAAACUAUAAACCGGCUCUCUUCUAGCUUACGACACAAACUAUGAGUGAGAAAAGGACAAAUGAUUCGCUCUUUGCUUCAUUUUUUCCGAGGUUGUCACAACAUGAAAUGUCAUUUGGACCUAUUGGACUCAUUUUAACUCGGCCAAAUACAUAGUAACAUACAUAAGAAGAUUUUACUUAUAUUUACCGAACUAUUUGACACGGUCGCGUCAACUGUGUUUACGAGUGUCUUGUGUUCAGAUUGUUUUAAGUGAUAAUUUAACAAUAUUUUUCCAAAUAAAUGGAAAGAAACUUUUAUUUAUAUCAAAUAAUUGAGUGUCUCGACUGUGUGACAUUAUGUCUUGUGUGGUAUGGGGCUGCAGCUCACAUUCAGAAAGAAAAGAAAAUAGCCAACAACUUCUGUCGUUUCAUCGACAUUAAAUCCAAAAGUGUCGACUGGAUUUACAUGAAAAGUCAGUUCAAGAAGACGAGAUGAAAAAUUUAAAAGAAAAGCUGAACAAGUCCCGCCUCAAGAUCAAACGACUUAAUGAAAAAAAAAAAAACAAUGUGACAGGGUGUCACAAAGACAGUUUCUAAGCAAAUUGACACUGUUUAGAAAUUAAUUAAUUUGUAUUUAUUGUAAAUAUAAUGUACAUAAUUAAUAACGUGUGAAAUAAAUACUUGCUAAUGAAAAUGAACAGAUUUACGAUCUAAUUUAUAUUUAAUUUUACCUCCUGUUCUUAUUUACUCCUACUCCAACACUCCAGGUUGAUACGAACUGCGCCCAAUAAAGAAUGUAAUGAAUGUUAUAGAUUUGUGUAAGCGACUUAGAUAAAUCUUGACUAAACCUUCCUUUACAAAUACAAAUAUACUUUAUUGCACACAACAUACAAUACUUACAAGUUUUACACGAAAGAUACAGUACACCACCUACCUACCUUUUACUUUCCCUUUCUGUUCUCUUAUG
Pectinophora gossypiella (pink bollworm) is the source of this 1373-nucleotide long non-coding RNA. RefSeq lists it as uncharacterized. The record is from RefSeq and is a predicted model, not a curated record. The transcript has 3 exons. NCBI's taxonomy places the organism in Eukaryota, Metazoa, Arthropoda, Insecta, Lepidoptera, Gelechiidae.